GGAAGUGCAGUAAUGCAUUAAGCUAACCAGUACUAAUUGCCCGUACGGCUUGUCCCU
RNAcentral lists this ribosomal RNA (57 nucleotides) under Rugamonas rubra. RNAcentral describes it as "23S rRNA. Bacterial LSU". Lineage: Bacteria; Pseudomonadati; Pseudomonadota; Betaproteobacteria; Burkholderiales; Oxalobacteraceae. The record is from RNAcentral.